UACGUAGGGUGCGAGCGUUAAUCGGAAUCACUGGGCGUAAAGCGCACGUAGGCGGCUUUCUAAGUCAGGGGUGAAAUCCUGGAGCUCAACUCCAGAACUGCCUUUGAUACUGGAGAGCUUGAGUCCGGGAGAGGUGAGUGGAACUCCGAGUGUAGAGGUGAAAUUCGUAGAUAUUCGGAAGAACACCAGUGGCGAAGGCGGCUCACUGGCCCGGUACUGACGCUGAUGUGCGAAAGCGUGGGGAGCAAACAGGG
This 254-nucleotide ribosomal RNA is filed under the name uncultured bacterium. Its description in RNAcentral is "partial 16S ribosomal RNA". It matches the Rfam family "Bacterial small subunit ribosomal RNA", at positions 524 to 777 of the family's 1533-position model. The record is from RNAcentral.